GUCAGUGUCCCGAGAGAUCCCCAGAAGAACGAGAGGGCUGAACAGGGGACCCCACUGACGUCCGGUGGGCCGACUUUACGAUCCUUUAGGAUGAAGAAACUAAGACUCAGAGAAGACAAAUGACAUGCCCAAAGACACAUUGAUAAGAACGCAUCUGGUAGUGGUGUUCGAGUCCAGCGUUGCAGCAGAGAGAUGGAUUUGAAUCCAAAUAACUGAUGAUUUGUUCCAUGAAUGCCAGAGCUGGAAGGGAUGGGGUUGGCAGAAGAGACAAGACUGGACCAUGGACCUGGUGGUUCUGUGCAGAGGCCAAAGCUACUCUCCUUCCCACCUGGCCCUGUGCUGGGCCUAACCUGGAGCCCCCUCUAUCCUCUGCCUCAUUCUUCUCCGGGUCAAGGUCCAGCAUGAACUCCAUGUCCUCCAGGAAGCCCUGGUGGACUUGGGCAGACCUGGGGACACGUCCAGCCUCCUGGCAAGAUGGGGGUAACAGGAGUGUGUAUAAAGGGGAAGGCAAGAAUGUGCCCUUGGUGGAGCAGUGAAAAGAAGCCCUCAUGUGACAAGUGUUUUGCUCCUAACCCACCUCCUCUGGUGACAUCUUCUGGGUUAACUGCUCUUGCUGAUCUCUGCACAUAAACCAAGCUAACUGUGAGAGGCCUUUCAUUUCUAGUUUAAAGCAAGGAGACCACAGUUCCUUCUGAACACUCACCCCCAAGGAGAUAAGGAGGGCGUCCCAUGAGCAACACUGUGUGUUAAAGAUGUACACGAGCACUGGGACCUGACCAAGGACAAACACGUCUCCAGCCCCCUCAGACCCUUGCUGCUGCUCAGAUGUCCGCUGUCAUCGGUCACAUCCUAACCUCAACCCCCUCUCUCCUCCCACAUAAAAGGAGGCUGAAAUUCAUAGUAACUUCAGAUGGUUCUUUAGGACACUGGCCCACCACCUUCUCGGUUGCUGGCUCUCCAAAACAAAGCCCCCUCCCUUGACCCAAUUCCUUGUUUCUUGACGUACUGGCUGUUGUGCAGUGCAUGGUACCGGCUUGAACUCGGUUAUGUUGGCAUGGCCUCUGGCGGUGCUCAGUUUGUGUGGAUGAGUAUUUUACAGCUACUGUCCUAUUUCCAGUCCCCUUCCUCUGGACGGCUAUGGGAUGUGCUGUGGAUGCCCUCUCUUAGGCUGGAAUAAACCACCCUACCUUCUCCUCUGCCUUGUCUCCACCAAAUAAACUCCUUAAGGCAGGGAUAGAGUCUUGCACUCCACGAAGAAGUAUUGCUGCAUCCUCAGCUGUGUAAGAGUGACCGGGCUUCUUCUAUUCCACCUGUAAUGGAACUUUAGGCACGCAGAGAGAGAUGGCAAAUUUGUGCUGGCUGAAGGGGUCAGCAAAUGCAUAUAAGGCUUCUUGUGCUCCAGAGAGAGAAUGGAGUGCAGUCAGUGAGACCCUGAGGGGAGAAGGAACCAAAAGCCUGGGCAGAAGGGAUCGUGGAGGUGCCCAGGGUCAGGAGGGAUGGGAAGGGUGAGGAACACAAGAGAUCACCUGGAGGCAUUAGAGGAGAAGGCAGGCACUGGGGAUGGUGCCGCUGAUCCAGGUGGAGCAACAUCCUAGGACCCGAGUGCUGGGCAGGUGCAUCCGUGGAGGGAAGCUUCUCUCCUCUCUCGGCUCCUGCUGAGAGAGGCAAUCAUUCCCCUGGCUUGCCCUGCAAGAGACAGGAGCUCUAGGUAGAUCUCUGCUAUCUAGGGAAUAGAAUGUGAAUAUUUGAAAGUUCUAGAGGUCAAGUCUUAGGUUCCCUCUCAGCUCAGAUCCCAAAUGGUACACUCUACCCUAACCCCCUUUUCUUGUAGCUUUGCUACAUGGAGAGGAAAAUACCUUGCCAGACACCAACAGUCCCUUCUCAGCACUUUUGUGUGAAGACAACUCAGACCCUAAGAGAAUGGGGUCUAAUUUGCAGGUGCCACUGGAAGGCAGAGGUCACGGGAGCCCUGGACUUCAGACAAGGUAGAGGGAUCCUGGAGACAGCACAUCUGGCCCUGGAGCCCUGCCCACCCGGGGAGUGAGGGCAGCUCUCCUGCUCUCCUAGGAGGCCUGCCCGAGGACCCCCAUGUCCUCUAUGUGUGGGAUUCUGCAGUUUGCACUCACAACCCAGAGCCUUUUACCCAACUACCCUGUUUGUAGGAAUGUGUCCAAAAUAAGCAUCAGACAAGUACAUGAAGAUGAAUGUGCAAAGACGUUCAUAACAGGAUUGUUUAUAAUCAUGAAAAAUGAUCUGCAGAUUUCCUGUCUGCUGUGCAGGAUGAGUUAGACGGGGAUGCAUCCAUAAAAUCACUUUGCCCUCAUUUAAAAUUAUAUCAUAGAUCUAUGUUUAAUGACAUAGUAAACGGUACUCAAUGCAUUAAGUGAAAAAAGCAUAUACAUAUCAGGAUGUAUAUGAUCAAGUUUUUGUUAAAUGGAUGCAUGUAUGCAUGUCAGUAACUGUCUGUGUUUGCAAACAAAACGUCUAGCAAGACGUGCAUCAAAUAUUAACAAUCAUUAUCUUUGGAUUCUGGAUUUAUUGACUUCUAUUUUUGACUUUGCCCUUUGUUUUUCUAUGUUAUCUGACACUUUUACACUGAGUUUAUAUUAUUUUUACAAUUAAAAUAUCAAUCCAUCAAUCUACCUCCAUUUGGGAAGUAGUAAAAAGUA
Molecule: long non-coding RNA, 2669 nt
Filed under: Homo sapiens (human)
Lineage: Eukaryota; Metazoa; Chordata; Mammalia; Primates; Hominidae
Description: HSALNT0397178
Source: RNAcentral